AUUAAAAAAUUUACCAGCACAAAAUCAAACGGUUGUUGGGAUUCGAAAGAAUUAUCUAAUUCACCUUUCUAUUCAGAUAUGAAAUAAAAGAUAAUACAAGGACUGAAGGUCCACGAAUUACAACUUUCUAGUAGAAUGUGAUUAAACUAAAGUAAAGCGCAACACUAGUGAAGUGGUAAGAAACCAAAUCGGAUAUGUGUGGGGUGAAAGGAGAAUCUGCCGCUGAUCAUAUCACAAGCGAGGCAGCAAACAGAAAAUAGGUCUUCUUGCCAUAUACUCGGAGAGCCCCUUGAGAUGCUGCAAUACAAUCAGCUUUCAAUGCAACCAAGUAAAGACCAAAAUGAAUAACCAAAAAUACUUCUUCCUACAUAGCAGACUCAUUUCCCAGCUGUUUAAUGAAGAAUUCCAGUCAACACUUUUAAUCGAUCUUUACGGAUGAGAAGAGGUAAUGAACAAAGUAGAAAGACAUGAGAAAGCCAAUUGUGCCAGUUGACAACAUGAUUGCAGUUGCCAUGAUCAAUGAAUAACCAAGGUAAAGGAUAGCCGACACAGGCCCACUCAAACUCUGCAGGUCAAAUACCAAGUAAUUGAUGGAGUACAGGAACACAUAAAGGGAAACAGAACCUGAAGCAAAGAAAGCCUUCCACCACCACCUCCAAUCCUCCACACAAAGAUGCAUGUAGGUGAGAACCACUGAAACUUCAGCACAAACAAUAACCAACAACAGAAGCACUAUAAGCAGGAAACCAAAGACAUAAUAGAACCUCCCAAGCCAGAUGCUAGAAAGGAUGAAGAAAAGUUCAAUGAAGAGGGUUCCAAAUGGAAGUGUCCCAGCACCAAGAACAAGAAGCCAUGAUGGAUAUUUGCGCGCAGGAAUUUCCCUUGGAAUCUGGUUGGUUCUCACAGGAUAUUGAAUUGCCUCAGCUCGUGUGCCUAAGAACCCUCCGAGAAGAGUGAGAGGCACUGAAAUGCAGAACCAGAGAGACAAGAGUACAAAAAACAAGGAAAUGGGAAGAGCACCAGUACUAUUGCUGCCCCAUAGAAUGAAGUUCAGUACCGUAAGAAUAAGAAAGA
Non-coding RNA from Prunus avium (sweet cherry), 1074 nucleotides. Lineage: Eukaryota; Viridiplantae; Streptophyta; Magnoliopsida; Rosales; Rosaceae. The record is from RefSeq and is a predicted model, not a curated record.